GAUGAAGAACGUAGCGAAAUGCGAUACGUAAUGUGAAUUGCAGAAUUCAGUGAAUCAUCGAAUCUUUGAACGCAUAUUGCGCUCUCUGGUAUUCCGGAGAGCAUGCUUGUUUGAGUAUCAGUAAACACCUCAACUUCCAUAUCUUUUUUGAAAUGGGAGUUGGACUUGAGUGAUCCCAACGCUUUUCCUCACCGAAAAGUGGCGGGUUACUUGAAAUGCAGGUGCAGCUGGACUUUUCUCUGAGCUAUAAGCAUAUCUAUUUAGUCUGCCUAAAAAACAGAUUAUUACCUUUGCUGCAGCUAACAUAAAGGAGAUUAGUUCUUGUGCUGACUGAUGCAGGAUUCACAAAGACAGGCUUCGGCCGACUUUGUAAACUCGAUCUUAAAUCAAGUAAGACUACCCGCUGAACUUAAGCAUAUCAAUAAGCGGAGGA
This 433-nucleotide unclassified non-coding RNA is filed under the name soil metagenome. RNAcentral describes it as "partial contains 5.8S ribosomal RNA, internal transcribed spacer 2, and large subunit ribosomal RNA". The stretch from base 1 to 120 matches the Rfam family "5.8S ribosomal RNA", at positions 35 to 154 of the family's 154-position model. The record is from RNAcentral.